UGCCUAGAGCGUCUGAGACGUGUAAUGGGCUCAAUGUUUCUGUGACUUGUGACUGAGUGCCAACUUGUAUCAACCUAAUGUGUGGUUAUUUCAUCAAGGGCGGAUCUAAAUUUUCAAAGUUGCAGGCAGUGAGGCUCCCUGAGAGUGCCAGAGAUCAUACAUGCAUUAUGGCCCGUCAGUCCUGAGACUCGCAAACUAGUGUGUAAGAAAAAGCAUCUGAUCCAACAAGAAGAUCGUGUGGACACUGGCAGAGUUGUCAUUUUGAAAUGGCAACCAAUGCCCUCAGAAGAUGCAUACCAGAACUCACAUUGGAGAUACUUGAUAGCAGAAGCUUUGGAUAAGAGUUGCCUUGGAGAUGAUUAUUGACGAAAUACCUAGUUUUUUGAAAAAAAACAAUGCAUUAUAGGAAAUACAGAACGUAAAUUAAGUCACAUUAGCACUAUAUUGUACCUUUUUGUUAGACACUAGACAAUUUUUCAGAACACUUGUUUUUUGUGAAGUGAAGCACUAAUGUAUGUUCAUGUGAAGUUCAUCGCAAAUGAUCAUCUGACAUAUUCUGAUAUAGUCGACAUUUAACAAUUGUUUCUGUUGAGUCUGUUAAAUUAUAUUUACAACAACAGUAAUCUCAUAAGAUAAAUUCACGAUCCAGUGAUCGAACCACUAGACCGUUACAAUGAUAUGUAUUUUUGCUAUGCAUACAUUAUGUGAUAUUAUGUUUAUGGAUUCCUGUAUUUUUGGAAACACAGUUGGCAGUCUAGAAAACAUAGUUUUAUGCAUAAAUGUUUCGGGCAAGGACAACAUAUAUUCACAAACGCGAUUCAUUUACUUAACGUAAGGCACUGUUUUGACUUUAUCACGGCAUCAUGUACAUGAUACCGCUUUGUGAAGUCAGCACACACUUUUUCAAGUGUGAAGCUUGACACAUAGAACACAUGAUUUUGACACAGCCACUUCAUCACCAAAUACACAAUACCGCUUCGUGAAGUCAGCACACAUUUGUUCAAGUGUGAAGCUUGACACAUAGAGCACAUGGUAUUGACACAGCCACUUAAUCACCAAAUACACAAUACCGCUUUGUGAAGUCAGCACACACUUUUUCAAGUGUGAAGCUUGACACAUAGAGCACAUGGUAUUGACACAGACACUUCAUCACCAAAUACACAAUACCGCUUUGUGAAGUCAGCACACACUUUUUUCAAGUAUGAAGCUUGACACAUAGAGCACAUGGUAUUGAUACAGCCACUUCAUUACCAAAUACACAAUACCGCUUUGUGAAGUCAGCACACAUUUGUUCAAGUGUGAAGCUUGACACAUAAACACAUUAAAUUUAUCCAAUAUACAUGUUGAUACAUAUUCAUAUUUUUUUUUUUUUUACAUUUUUAACAUAACAUAUCCACCUUCAUGAUUUUGUUCAUUAUUGGCACACUUUUUCAUGCAGUGCUUUUUUGUUAUUUUAUCUUCCAAAGCUGCAAUGUACAAAUAUUAUUUCCAUUUUUUUAAAAACAUAUUUUACCUGGUAUUUGUAUAAUCCAUAUUCAAAUUUAGUAUUAAAGUUUAAAAAAUGUCUGCUAAUUUUUGUAAUUGUCACAAAAGCAUG
This is a long non-coding RNA of Ostrea edulis (European flat oyster), 1597 nucleotides long. RefSeq lists it as uncharacterized. NCBI's taxonomy places the organism in Eukaryota, Metazoa, Mollusca, Bivalvia, Ostreida, Ostreidae. The record is from RefSeq and is a predicted model, not a curated record. The transcript has 3 exons.